CAAGAACCCAGUGGUGAUUUGGCCGGUCUGAUUGCAGCCACUUAAAACAAGUCGCUAAAGGGACCCGUGCUCGAACCG
RNAcentral lists this non-coding RNA (78 nucleotides) under Devosia sp. Lineage: Bacteria; Pseudomonadati; Pseudomonadota; Alphaproteobacteria; Hyphomicrobiales; Devosiaceae. The record is from RNAcentral.